UACGGAGGGUGCGAGCGUUGUCCGGAAUCAUUGGGCGUAAAGGGCGCGUAGGCGGCCGUCCCAAGCGUGCGGUGAAAGUCAGGGGCUCAACCCCUGAUCGGCCGUGCGAACUGGGGGGCUCGAGCACUGUAGAGGCAGGCGGAAUUCCGGGUGUAGCGGUGGAAUGCGUAGAGAUCCGGAAGAACACCGGUGGCGAAGGCGGCCUGACUGG
Molecule: ribosomal RNA, 211 nt
Filed under: uncultured bacterium
Lineage: Bacteria
Description: partial 16S ribosomal RNA
Rfam family: Bacterial small subunit ribosomal RNA
Source: RNAcentral